CACAACCUAAACCCCAUGACCCCUCGCCCCCACACUUCCAUCUCUCGCAACUGACCCAACGCCUGCGUUGAAGAACGUUGAAGAACGCCGUUGAAUCUUCUCCGCUGAAGAACCACAACAAAGUCUUCACAACUCACGACCCACGAUCGAAUAUCCUUCGAAUCUGUUGAAUCCGCUAAAUCUUCACAACCCACGACCCCUUACGCCGCCACACUCCCACCUGAAAAAGCUUACUCAAUGCUUUUCUCUCUCUCCUUCUCUGUCUUUCCUUCAAUUUUUCUAAUUCCCCAACUGGGUUCUUUUCAACUAUCAACACCAUGAGUCUUUUAAUUAUCAGGACUUGCUCUUUGAACUUCUUUCUUGGAAUCGAAUUUUCCUUGGCUUUUCUUUUCUCCUCGAAAUCCUCUUCACUUGGCAGUUUUUCAUUCAUGGGAAUAGUGGUUGUCUUGGAUGCUACACGAAGCCGAAACUAAAAAAACUCAUAUGAAUGAACCAUCAAAGGGUCAACAAAUUCAAUGUCAUGGACCAAGGAAACCCAGCCUAUCAGAGGAUUUCUGAACUACUAGUACAUUUGAUGUGGAAAAUAGUGCAGGUCAAUCACAAGGAAGUAUGUCAUCAUUGAGUACAACCAACCAUAUGCACGAUCCACACAGACAAUGUACCCAACCCUUUAAAGUUUCUAAAUCACGGUGAUUAUCUCCUUUCACUCUAUAUUUUCAGUUACUCAAUUCACCAUGUUCUAGAUAAGAACAGAACUUUACAAGGAAAAUUAAUUGUACUUUGAGACUUAAGACUGUUAAAUGGAUGAUUCGAUAAAGUUUGUCUUUACUUUGUAUUUCAACGAUUUGUUCAUUUAUCAUAGCUUUUUAUAACAUGACAAUCUCCUUAAUUUUUCUAUGUGAUUAUCCCAUUUCUUUGAAGAUAGGCAUUGGCACAAGUAACUAUACUUAGAUCUUCACUGUAGGUCUUUUUCUGUGGAAUCAAACUAGGCAACGUUGGAAAGGGAAUAAAUGAUUCGAAAAGCGAACACCGAAGUUUCAAGAACCCAAGUUAGAGUGGAAUGUAACUUAUGAAAGUUUACUUGGGAGCAACAAGCCAUUUUGUCAACCUAUUCCACUCAGUAUAAGUUCUCAACCCAUCUAAUCUCUAUCGAUGGACAAACCAAACAAGAAUGAAAAGAUAUGUAACUGACACAACAGAGCAAUAACGAUAUCUCACUCGCAAAAGAACAUUAAUAAAAGCAAGAAACAAACUUUAUGGCAAACAGUAAAGGCAAGUAUAAAUAUUUAAAUUCAUUGUAUUUUGUAGACUACUAGCAAUUAGAAUUAGUCCGUUAUUCUAAUUUGUUAUUUUUAUAGUGUCCAUUACAAGUCGGGUGCACCGUGUAUGGAUACUAUGUCAUGAAAUUUAUGAGAGAAAUUGUAAAUAGGGAGAAAGCAUUGUCAUCUUAGAUUUGAUUGGUACAUGAAAACCAUACUCACAGGCCGAGUUAGAUGAGGUGUGGGUUGAGUUGACUGAGUUUUUAGGUUCGUACAUAUGAUCUAUGACUUAUUUGUGAUUCUAAAGCAGGAAACAUUUUUUUUUAUGUCUAAUUUUUUGAAUUGUCCAUAUGGAGGGGGGUUGAUUUAUAUACUUUUGAGACUCUGUUGUGGUUUAGGGUUUAAGUGAAUUGUUCAUAUGUAGGGGGUUGCCAUUAUGAAACUUUAUGUAUGGAGAUGAUAUACUUUUGGGCUAAGUUAGUUAAUUAGAUGAUGUUUAGUUGAAUUCUUGGAAA
Long non-coding RNA from Cucumis melo (muskmelon), 1774 nucleotides. RefSeq lists it as uncharacterized. The transcript has 5 exons. Lineage: Eukaryota; Viridiplantae; Streptophyta; Magnoliopsida; Cucurbitales; Cucurbitaceae. The record is from RefSeq and is a predicted model, not a curated record.